GGAAGUGCUUUUUUUUUUUUAACGUCACAGGUCGUAGGCUUUAAGUGGGAAGAAGAAAGCUAACUCUGCUCAAAAGAAAAGGAAAAAGGCUGGAAGUUAGGACAGAAGUCUCCUGUCUCGGAGGACAUUGGGACGCCAUUGUCUACUGUUAUAUUACCUGCCUCUCCCAGUGAGUGCUAAGGGAGGGGAGGACUGGAAGAAAUACAGGGAGGAGCCCGUAUUCUAGGGUGAAGGUGUUCAAACUGCAGUACUAGAAGAAUGUCCAGGGAUCUUCGGUCCACCUGGAAUUUAUUUUUGUAUCUAGUGUAAGGUAGGAAUCUGUAUUUGUAUUUUUUCACAGUAAUAAUCAUUCUGCCAAUAUCAUUUUAGUACAAAAAGAGUUGAUACUAACUCCCCUACUAAUUGUAGUCAUGUGAGACAUAUCAAGGGUAUAAGGCCAAUUUAUUUGUUUAUUUAAAUAGAAUUGUGAAGUCAGCCAGAAUAUUAACGUUGGCUCUUUGAACAUUUUCUCCCAAGUGGAAAAUUCCAUAUGGGAAACCAAAUUACUGUUGAAGUCUGCUUAGAAAGCUGAGGACUAGGGGAGUUCCCUGGUGGCCUAGUGGUUAGGAUUCUGCGCUUUCACUGCCAUGGCCUGGGUUCAAUCCCUGGUUGGGGAAGUGAGAUCCCACAAGCUGUGUGGUUUGGCCAAAAAAUUAAAAUAAAAAACAAAACAAAACAAAACAAGAGAAAGCUGAGGACUAGAAAACAAGUUAAAAAUCUUAGUGACUAGUGUCUGACGUCUAUGACAGUCUUUGGUAUAAUACAAAAUAUUUUGCUUUUGUCCCCUGUUCCAAACACAGAACUCCUAACACCCUUGUAGUUUCCUGAGUGAUAGGAGCAUCAUUUAUUAUUCAUAAGAAGGCCCUUCCAGCACUCCUGAGUUUAUGCUAAUUAGGUAGCUUAAGGUAGGCCUUAGGGUGGGACCCCCAAGAUAGCUUUGAGAUGGGCAGGUCACCAGAAAGACCAAGUGAUUAGAGGAUGGGAACUUUUCAGCUCUAGUCCUGACCUCCAGAGUGAGAGGCAGGGUGUGCUAGAGAUUAAGUUCUAUAAAAACUCUUGAACAAAGAGAUUCAGAGAGCUUCCAAGCUGGUGAACACAAUGAAGUGCUAGGAGGGUAGGCACCCCAACUCCACGUGAAAGAAGCCCCUUUGCUCAGGACCUUUGUGGACUUUGCCUUUGUACCUCUUCAUCUGGCCGUUCAUGUGUAUCCUUUGUAAGGAUACAAAAGUUACCUUUACUUUGUAAUUAUAAGUGAUGUGUCUUAUUGAGUUUAUUGAGUUCUGCGAGCCACUCUAGGAAAUUAUGGAACUUUAGGAGAGUGUCAUGGGAACUCCCAAUUCAUAGCCAGUUGGUCAGAAGUCCAGGAGGUCUAGGACUUGUGACUGGCAUCUGAAGUGGGGGCAGUCCUGUGAGACUAAGACCUUGAGCUGUGGGGUGUUCACCAACUCCCAGUAUUCAGUGUCAAAAAUGAGUUGAAGUGUUGAACACCCAGUUAUUGUCUGGAGAAUCAGAGAUUUGGUUGUUGGUGUUGGAAGACACCUCACAGCCCAAUGCACCAAUGUUCAUCCUGUCAACCAAGGUACCAGAAAUCUCAUAUUGUAUGUUUCACUAACUUUCUCAUGUGAACUGUGCUGGCUACAAACCAAAUUUCCUUGCCUUGCCUCUUUUUUUUUUUAAAUUUUUUUUAAGCAUCCAUGCUUCCCAUCACGCUUCAUUAAAUAAUUGUUUUCCUAGGUGCCAAGAUUCCUUUAUGUUCUUCAUUUAUUCUUUCAUUCAAUAAAUAUAUGUGAUAAAUA
Long non-coding RNA from Aethalodelphis obliquidens (Pacific white-sided dolphin), 1835 nucleotides. RefSeq lists it as uncharacterized. The transcript has 3 exons. The record is from RefSeq and is a predicted model, not a curated record. Lineage: Eukaryota; Metazoa; Chordata; Mammalia; Artiodactyla; Delphinidae.